GACGAACGCUGGCGGCGUGCUUAACACAUGCAAGUCGAACGGAAAGGCCCUGCUUUUGUGGGGUGCUCGAGUGGCGAACGGGUGAGUAACACGUGAGUAACCUGCCCUUGACUUUGGGAUAACUUCAGGAAACUGGGGCUAAUACCGGAUAGGAGCUCCUGCUGCAUGGUGGGGGUUGGAAAGUUUCGGCGGUUGGGGAUGGACUCGCGGCUUAUCAGCUUGUUGGUGGGGUAGUGGCUUACCAAGGCUUUGACGGGUAGCCGGCCUGAGAGGGUGACCGGCCACAUUGGGACUGAGAUACGGCCCAGACUCCUACGGGAGGCAGCAGUGGGGAAUAUUGCACAAUGGGCGGAAGCCUGAUGCAGCAACGCCGCGUGCGGGAUGACGGCCUUCGGGUUGUAAACCGCUUUCGCCUGUGACGAAGCGUGAGUGACGGUAAUGGGUAAAGAAGCACCGGCUAACUACGUGCCAGCAGCCGCGGUGAUACGUAGGGUGCGAGCGUUGUCCGGAUUUAUUGGGCGUAAAGGGCUCGUAGGUGGUUGAUCGCGUCGGAAGUGUAAUCUUGGGGCUUAACCCUGAGCGUGCUUUCGAUACGGGUUGACUUGAGGAAGGUAGGGGAGAAUGGAAUUCCUGGUGGAGCGGUGGAAUGCGCAGAUAUCAGGAGGAACACCAGUGGCGAAGGCGGUUCUCUGGGCCUUUCCUGACGCUGAGGAGCGAAAGCGUGGGGAGCGAACAGGCUUAGAUACCCUGGUAGUCCACGCCGUAAACGGUGGGUACUAGGUGUGGGGUCCAUUCCACGGGUUCCGUGCCGUAGCUAACGCUUUAAGUACCCCGCCUGGGGAGUACGGCCGCAAGGCUAAAACUCAAAGGAAUUGACGGGGCCCCGCACAAGCGGCGGAGCAUGCGGAUUAAUUCGAUGCAACGCGUAGAACCUUACCUGGGUUUGACAUGGAUCGGGAGUGCUCAGAGAUGGGUGUGCCUCUUUUGGGGUCGGUUCACAGGUGGUGCAUGGCUGUCGUCAGCUCGUGUCGUGAGAUGUUGGGUUAAGUCCCGCAACGAGCGCAACCCUUGUUCACUGUUGCCAGCACGUUAUGGUGGGGACUCAGUGGAGACCGCCGGGGUCAACUCGGAGGAAGGUGGGGAUGACGUCAAGUCAUCAUGCCCCUUAUGUCCAGGGCUUCACGCAUGCUACAAUGGCUGGUACAGAGAGUGGCGAGCCUGUGAGGGUGAGCGAAUCUCGGAAAGCCGGUCUCAGUUCGGAUUGGGGUCCGCAACUCGACCUCAUGAAGUCGGAGUCGCUAGUAAUCGCAGAUCAGCAACGCUGCGGUGAAUACGUUCCCGGGGCU
Molecule: ribosomal RNA, 1346 nt
Filed under: uncultured bacterium
Lineage: Bacteria
Description: partial 16S ribosomal RNA
Rfam family: Bacterial small subunit ribosomal RNA
Source: RNAcentral